RNAcentral lists this ribosomal RNA (253 nucleotides) under uncultured bacterium. Its description in RNAcentral is "partial 16S ribosomal RNA". It matches the Rfam family "Bacterial small subunit ribosomal RNA", at positions 524 to 776 of the family's 1533-position model. The record is from RNAcentral.
UACGGAGGGGGCAAGCGUUAUUCGGAAUUAUUGGGCGUAAAGGGCGCGUAGGCGGCUAGAUGUGUCAAAAGUGAAAUCCCUCGGCUCAACUGAGGAACUGCCUUUGAAACUGUCUGGCUUGAGGCCGGGAGAGGGUAGCGGAAUUCCCAGUGUAGCGGUGAAAUGCGUAGAUAUUGGGAGGAACACCAGUGGCGAAGGCGGCUACCUGGACCGGUUCUGACGCUGAGGCGCGAAAGCGUGGGUAGCAAACAGG